GAUCCUGGCUCAGGAUGAACGCUGGCGGCGUGCUUAACACAUGCAAGUCGAACGAUUGAAGCUGGAGCUUGCUCCGGCCGAUUUAGUGGCGGACGGGUGAGUAACGCGUGGGUAACCUGCCUCAUACAGGGGGAGUAGCAGUUGGAAACGAACUGGUAAAACCGACAUAAGCGCACGGUAUCGCAUGAUACAGUGUGAAAACAACUCCGGUGGGUAUGAGAUGGACCCGCCGUCUGAUUAG
Molecule: ribosomal RNA, 241 nt
Filed under: uncultured bacterium
Lineage: Bacteria
Description: partial 16S ribosomal RNA
Rfam family: Bacterial small subunit ribosomal RNA
Source: RNAcentral